AAUGUGAGUUGCUGCUGCUGCUAGUGCAAGAGCUUCAUAAUAGUAAAAACAAUACUCCCACUAUCCCCAUUGAGAGGAGGACGGUGUGCUGCAGCGCUGCACACACGCACGCCGUCAGUGAGCAGAAGGAAAAUAUUCUUCGAUUACCGUAGAAGGCUUAUCGCUAGCGGAGGCGAGAAUCCGACCGUGUCUUCCAGCAGCUGCCUCACACUCAGUGUUUGUUUUUCUUCCUCUCAGAUAGCAGUUGCGAUUCCGCUAUUCUAAUCUGUAAUAACAAUAAUCGCGAAAUUACAAACACGGUAUAGUGCGGUAUGUCAGUGUAUGUAAAUUAAAUUGAUUUGUGAGCAAGGUGGUUCACCAGUUGGCGGUGGAAGAUGUGAGAAAGACGAUUUCGUCGGCCAGCAUAGCAAUACGGUGAAUGCGAAAAGCCGCCAGCCACGGGCGGGAUUGCAUUGUUCUGUGGUUGAUGAGGAAUUUACAGUUUUCAAUCCAGACAUUGGGCGCACUAGGCAGCAUGAAACCAGGCCGGCCAGACGUUCAGUGACAAUUGGGAACCAGCGGUCUGUGCGAGCAUAAAAUUAGCGCCACUGUGUCGUAACACACAACAGCAGUUAGCUGCAGCUGCAGCGUGAGGCUUGCGAGAGGUGGUAAGGUGUGCAACAAUAUCUGAGAUUUAUCGUUGGCCUAACGACCAGAAGUGUCGCGACAACGAGGGUGCCGAGCGCAAUCUAGGAAUGGCGGUGUCUAAAUUCAGUGACGUUGACGAGUAUGGGUUCAAGCGGGAACCGGACUUCGACUACCAGUCGUACGAGAAUAUUAUGUCCAGCUACUAUACCGUGUUAACGACUCGCAGCAUCAAGUGGACCAAAUUCCUGAAAACCGGCAAUAUUCUCGGUGAUCCCCGUAAGCUGAAACGCUUCGUUCGUAAAGGCAUUCCGGGACCUAUGCGGGAGGAAGUGUGGAUGAAAUCUUCUGGAGCAGCUUGGAUGCAGCAGAAGGACCCCACUCUUUACCAGACUCUAUUGCGAUACGAGUAUGACCAAGAAAUAGCGGAUCAAAUAAAAAUUGAUCUCCCACGUACCUUCCCGGACAACAUUCAUUUCGAUGAGUACAAGCUGGGGCUGUACAACGUGCUGAUAACGUAUGCACAUCACAACAAGUCCGUCGGCUAUUGCCAGGGGCUCAACUACAUUGCCGGUCUGAUACUGAUUGUAACGAAAAACGAGGAGUCAACGUUCUGGCUGCUGAAAGUGCUGGUGGAGAACAUUGUUCCGAUGUACCACACGAAAAAGAUGGUUAACUUAAUUACCGAUAUCGAUGUGCUUAGCGAAUUGAUUAGAAUACGAGUACCUGACGUGCAUAGGCAUAUUGCCGAUCUAGGGCUGCCAUGGGCUGUGAUAGCCACCAAGUGGUUCAUCUGUGUAUACGCGGAGGUGGUCCCCACAGAGACUGCCCUCCGGAUAUGGGACUGCGUGUUCCUUGAGGGCAACAAGGUCCUGCUGCGAGUCGGAAUUAGCAUCGUCGUGGGGCUGCGGCGGGAAAUCCUCGCGACGGACGAUAUCUCAGCGUUGAUCGGUCUCUUCCGGACGCUAGAGAGCAACACCACCCUAAUGGACUGCCACCGAUUUAUGAAGAGCGUCUUCAAGAUUCCUGGAACGCUGAAGCGGGCACAAAUCGACGCACUACGCAAGCAGAUUUACGAACAGAGGAAGGCUAGCAAACUGAAAGAUUCCUAGGGGCUGGAGGACUAUAUCGUUAAGAGAUAUAGACUGAACCUCGUGUUGAACUUAACCUGAAAAAUCGCGUCAUCGCGGUCAUCCCACGGUGGAAGGGGGCAGAUCAAAGUCACAGUAACCUUUCGUGAUUCUCGGACAAGCAUGAAUACUAUAUGAGACCAUGUGUUUCAUUGAGGAACGUUAUCCAGUUGCUGCAUGGCGUUGUGGUGCAAAGUUCUUCGUAAUUAGGGAAGAAACAGCAAUCCCUAAAAAAGGAAGACUGGCCCCAGCGGAGUUCUGCUCGAGUGAUGACAGGAUUUCAACAAUGGCAACUUAUGUGUAUACACAAUCAUCAUGAGGUCUGCUCCAUUGACCACGGCGACUGAUAUCGCUGCAGGUAAUUGUUGAUACAUGUGAAGGAAACUUCUAUAUGUGACUUCAACCCGCCGACUGCCGACCCUAACCACACGCCACGAGUGUUCCUGGUUUCGAGAAGAUUGGAAAUUUUGUGCCGAGCUGAAAGUUUCCCCAGUUCCACAGGCAACCGGAAGAGCAGCUUACUGACAGACAAUUUGGGCUCCGCAAGAAACACAACGGAACCGGAACAAAACAAAGCGGAGGAAGGAAGUUGGCCUUCAAAUUAUAUGCAGUACAAUCAUUCAUCAUAAACAAAUCGGAGAUAAGUUUUUUUCGUUUUUUUUACAUCAUUACGUCAGUCACCUCGGUCGGGGAACUAUUUUCAUAUUCCCGCCAAGGAUAAACAUCAGUUAUAGUCUAUACAUUACAACACUGUUGACCUUUUUCCUUGUCUUUACAGUUGGCAUGAUCCCAGACUCGUAAUACUUGUUUACCAAAAACCAUCCAAGCUAUGGGAUUGAAGGUAACGGCGAGUUUGUCGCUAAGAUUGGAAUCUUUCUUCAACACAUCAUCGACCGUAAAAAAAAUAAGGGACACGAGAGAACAAAAUACGGAUGAAACGUGCUAAUUCUACCGUCACUCUGCUAAUCAGCUAAUGCAAAUCAGAGCGAUGCAGCAGGAAGAGGAACGGGAACUUGCUCGGGAACUUGCUUUGGAAAUGCUCAUGAAAUUGAGGUGGUUGAGGCUGCGAUUAAAAUUUGCCUCUUGUACGCAGUUUAUAGAAUGAUUCCAACGAGAAUUAUUGAUGUUGUUUAUAGAAUAAGUUAUUAGUAUAAUGUAUUCUAAGUAUGUAGAAUUAAACGCAAUCAAAUACAAUUUUUUAAAUUAAAAAUAAUUAUUAAAAAAUAUUGUCAUUAUCCCUGAUGAUUACCUCUAACAAAUAUGAAGCAAAAUUUUCACUGUUAUUGCACCAAUGUUGGACCAAAAAUUUGUAGUUUGUUUGACAUAUGUGCCUACUAUUCUUUUUUUGUAACAUUUACCAAUGAUUAGUAGGGUAGAAAAUGACUAGAGAAUUGGUAACAUGUACCAAAAAAUUCGUUAUAUUUACUAAAUUUUUCUCUCAGUGUAGAAGCGGCCUAAACUCAUUUGCACUCUUCUCUUGUUUCGCCUGCUUUGCCAUGGCUCGGAUGGUUGUGUUAAUUGCAAUGCCAGACGCACUUCAAGGGAAAUAUUCGCGAGCGUUCACAGCUCGAGGGGAAACAUAAAAAAAACGAGCAGAAUGAGGGCCCCCGCCGACUGCAGACUGAUUUGUGGGCCGAUAGUUUGGUCGGCUUCUUAAUCAGUACGGAGAGGUAUGCAUGUGCGCACAUUACGCCGAUUCAGUUGGGUCGGUUUUUGCACCAGAAGGCCGGCCCGUCCAAACUGUUGGUUGAUAGAAAGUCUGUAGUAUCUGGGGGCUCUAAGCGACCUUUGCUGUUUCGGGCACAGAAAGAUUCUGAGAAUUUUUCUAAGAGGAGAUGCAAUACUUAUACGCUUUCGACAGCUUGGUGGAGUGAUAUAUUCUCUUUUCGCUAUCCCCCUUCGUUGUUUCUAUUAGAGAUGGGCAAACCGUUCAUGAACUGAUCAAAAGAACUAAUUCGCCAAAAAGAGUGAACGAACUGCCGUUCUUUUUUGCUGGGCAACAGUUCAUAUGAACUGUAUACCCAGUUCAGAACGAACUGUGUACGGUGAACGAUGAACUGAUAAUACAGUUCAGAACGAACUGACCGCUGACUGAACUAUGUACACUGAGAGAAAUAUUUAGUAAAUAUGACGAAUUUUUUGGUAAAUAUUACCAAUUCGUUAGUCGUUUUCGAACCUACUAAUCAUUGGUACAUCGAACUACGAAAAAAAAAUUGGUAGACACCAAUGCCAAACGAAACUACGGUUUAUAAGUCCAGUGUUGGCUCAAUUUCGACCCAACAAAAUCGAUUCGUCCGUUCAGUGUUGGCUGAUUUGUUGGCCCACCAUCGGUACAAGUGAAAUUGAUGGUUCUCAUUUGUAAUUGGGAUUAGGGAUAUUAACAAUAUGUUUUGAAUAUAUAUUUCAAAAGCUGUGUUGAAAUAUUUUUAUCUUUAUUUAAUUAUAGAAAAGCUUUUCCAGUAGGCUUUUAACGAGUGAGUUUUGUAUUACAGUACUCAAUAGCAUGCUUUUUCGGGCAUCCUCAUCCUCUACAGCUUAGGCAGAACUACAUGGUUGAAAUACAAAAAUUGAGUUUCGUUAUACGUUAUACGAUGUUUUUCACCUGAAAAUGAAAAAAAAAGAUGCACAGUCAAAAAUUGAAAAGAAAAUAUAGAAUUAACUUAACCGUUAAAAAGAAUCCAAACACGCCAAAAAUUCAUAUGUCAAACAAUAGAGAGUAAAAAUACAAACAAACAUACAAGCCUUCGCAACUUAUCGCCUUCGUAGAAGUUUGAUGUUAGUGGCAGUUGGACUCUCAGUGCUUCCCAUAUAUCAACCUCGUCGUUCUCGCUACGCGACCCGAAUCGCAAAUUACAUCAAUUCAUCCUCAACUUCGAAGGUGAUUUGAAGAUGGAAAUCGGAACCAGGUCGUACAUACUCGGAUGGGACAUCGAAACACAAAUCCUCGAUAAUGCAUGUCGUACGCUCUUUGCUCUUCUUGAUGUGGUUCACGUUGAUCACGGGUGCCCCUAUCGCGAAUACGUUGCCAAAUGCAACAAUCGCGUUCAACACAUGGAAUAGCUUGAUUUCUACAAAAUAGAACGAGUUGUGUAACAGUGCGGCAAACAUUUAGAAAAUAAUUGAAUAUUCACCUAUUUUCACUGGUAAUCCCGAUGGAAGCUGCAUGUAUGUUGUAUGUUUUUCACUCGGCCGCAUUAUAGCUUUGAAUCGAGGACCUUUCUUUUCUGUUUUCUAACAUCUCAUCUGGAGGUCGCGGCAGAAUCUGUCAUGAGUAAUUCAUUCGACGAGAUAGCAGUCUCCUGAAGUUGUCCGAGGGGAACAUGCAUUGACAAUCGAGGCAGCUGACUUGGUUUGGGCCUAGGUUGCAGGUGGAUUUUUUCUUCUGCUGUAUCGACGAUUGAUUUGAAUCUUCUGUGUCGCAGUUGUGCAGCGGAACAUCGGAUCUGCU
Toxorhynchites rutilus septentrionalis is the source of this 5202-nucleotide RNA transcript. It is a transcript of the gene named growth hormone-regulated TBC protein 1-A, with no coding region annotated. The record is from RefSeq and is a predicted model, not a curated record. The transcript has 10 exons. NCBI's taxonomy places the organism in Eukaryota, Metazoa, Arthropoda, Insecta, Diptera, Culicidae.